GAUGAAGAACGCAGCGAAAUGCGAUAAGUAAUGUGAAUUGCAGAAUUCAGUGAAUCAUCGAAUCUUUGAACGCACAUUGCGCCCGCUAGUAUUCUGGCGGGCAUGCCUGUCCGAGCGUCAUUUCAACCCAUCAAGCUUAGCGCUUGUGUUGGAGCCCUGCGGCCGCCGCAGCCUCCUAAAAUCAGUGGCGGGCUCGCUAUCACGCUGAGUGCAGUAGUAUUCUUCUCACUCCUGUGGUGUAGCGGGUAACCAGCCGUAAACCCCCCCAUCUAUAAAGGUUGACCUCGGAUCAGGUAGGAAUACCCGCUGAACUUAAGCAUAUCAAUAAGCGGAGGA
This 336-nucleotide unclassified non-coding RNA is filed under the name soil metagenome. Its description in RNAcentral is "partial contains 5.8S ribosomal RNA, internal transcribed spacer 2, and large subunit ribosomal RNA". The stretch from base 1 to 120 matches the Rfam family "5.8S ribosomal RNA", at positions 35 to 154 of the family's 154-position model. The record is from RNAcentral.